GUGGGGAAUCUUGCGCAAUGGGCGAAAGCCUGACGCAGCCAUGCCGCGUGAAUGAUGAAGGUCUUAGGAUUGUAAAAUUCUUUCACCGGGGACGAUAAUGACGGUACCCGGAGAAGAAGCCCCGGCUAACUUCGUGCCAGCAGCCGCGGUAAUACGAAGGGGGCUAGCGUUGCUCGGAAUUACUGGGCGUAAAGGGCGCGUAGGCGGACAGUUUAGUCAGAGGUGAAAGCCCAGGGCUCAACCUUGGAAUUGCCUUUGAUACUGGCUGUCUUGAGUACGGGAGAGGUGAGGGGAACUCCGAGUGUAGAGGUGAAAUUCGUAGAUAUUCGGAAGAACACCAGUGGCGAAGGCGACUCACUGGCCCGUUACUGACGCUGAGGCGCGGAAGCGUGGGGAGCAAACAGGAUUAGAUACCCCAGUAGUCC
RNAcentral lists this ribosomal RNA (425 nucleotides) under uncultured bacterium. RNAcentral describes it as "partial 16S ribosomal RNA". It matches the Rfam family "Bacterial small subunit ribosomal RNA", at positions 354 to 796 of the family's 1533-position model. The record is from RNAcentral.